Molecule: ribosomal RNA, 374 nt
Filed under: uncultured organism
Description: bacterial SSU rRNA
Rfam family: Bacterial small subunit ribosomal RNA
Source: RNAcentral
CGUAGGGGGCGAGCGUUGUCCGGAUUUAUUGGGCGUAAAGAGCUCGUAGGCGGCUUGGCAAGUCGGGUGUGAAAACUCCAGGCUCAACCUGGAGACGCCACUCGAGACUGCUAUGGCUAGAGUCCGGUAGGGGAUCACGGAAUUCCUGGUGUAGCGGUGAAAUGCGCAGAUAUCAGGAGGAACACCGGUGGCGAAGGCGGUGGUCUGGGCCGGCACUGACGCUGAGGAGCGAAAGCGUGGGGAGCAAACAGGAUUAGAUACCCUGGUAGUCCACGCCGUAAACGUUGGGCACUAGGUGUGGGGCCUUAUCAACGGGUUCCGUGCCGUAGCUAACGCAUUAAGUGCCCCGCCUGGGGAGUACGGCCGCAAGGCUA